CGGCCUUCGGGUUGUAAACCUCUUUCAGCAGGGAAGAAGCGCAAGUGACGGUACCUGCAGAAGAAGCACCGGCUAACUACGUGCCAGCAGCCGCGGUAAUACGUAGGGUGCGAGCGUUGUCCGGAAUUAUUGGGCGUAAAGAGCUUGUAGGCGGCUUGUCGCGUCUGCUGUGAAAAUCCGAGGCUCAACCUCGGACUUGCAGUGGGUACGGGCAGGCUAGAGUGUGGUAGGGGAGACUGGAAUUCCUGGUGUAACGGUGAAAUGCGCAGAUAUCAGGAGGAACACCGAUGGCGAAGGCAGGUCUCUGGGCCACUACUGACGCUGAGAAGCGAAAGCAUGGGGAGCGAACAGGAUUAGAUACCCUGGUAGUCCAUGCCGUAAACGUUGGGAACUAGGUGUGGGUCUCAUUCCACGAGAUCCGUGCCGCAGCUAACGCAUUAAGUUCCCCGCCUGGGGAGUACGGCCGCAAGGCUAAAACUCAAAGGAAUUGACGGGGGCCCGCACAAGCGGCGGAGCAUGCGGAUUAAUUCGAUGCAACGCGAAGAACCUUACCAAGGCUUGACAUGAACCGGACCGCUGCAGAAAUGUGGUUUCCCCUUUGGGGCUGGUUUACAGGUGGUGCAUGGUUGUCGUCAGCUCGUGUCGUGAGAUGUUGGGUUAAGUCCCGCAACGAGCGCAACCCUCGUUCUAUGUUGCCAGCACG
Molecule: ribosomal RNA, 703 nt
Filed under: uncultured Streptomyces sp.
Lineage: Bacteria; Bacillati; Actinomycetota; Actinomycetes; Kitasatosporales; Streptomycetaceae
Description: bacterial SSU rRNA
Rfam family: Bacterial small subunit ribosomal RNA
Source: RNAcentral